AAACCUCCGCAAUGUGAGAAAUCGCGACGGGGGGACCCCAAGUGCCAUUCUUAACGGGAUGGCUUUUCUUGAGUGUAAAAAGCUCUUGGAAUAGGAGCUGGGCAAGACCGGUGCCAGCCGCCGCGGUAACACCGGCAGCUCUAGUGGUAGCCAUUUUUAUUGGGCCUAAAGCGUUCGUAGCCGGUUUAAUAAGUCUCUGGUGAAAUCCUAUAGCUUAACUGUGGGAAUUGCUGGAGAUACUAUUAGACUUGAGGUCGGGAGAGGUUAGAGGUACUCCCAGGGUAGGGGUGAAAUC
This 295-nucleotide ribosomal RNA is filed under the name uncultured Methanobrevibacter sp. RNAcentral's name for it is "partial 16S ribosomal RNA". It matches the Rfam family "Archaeal small subunit ribosomal RNA", at positions 344 to 639 of the family's 1478-position model. The record is from RNAcentral. Lineage: Archaea; Methanobacteriati; Methanobacteriota; Methanobacteria; Methanobacteriales; Methanobacteriaceae.